Cicer arietinum (chickpea) is the source of this 3686-nucleotide long non-coding RNA. RefSeq lists it as uncharacterized. The record is from RefSeq and is a predicted model, not a curated record. NCBI's taxonomy places the organism in Eukaryota, Viridiplantae, Streptophyta, Magnoliopsida, Fabales, Fabaceae.
AUGAGUUUUUUUUUAAUCAACUAAAAAAUUACAUUAAAUUAAGCAAAUUCAAAGUACAAGAUGUACUAAGAAUUUAAAUACAAAAUAUAUGGAGGUAAUUGCAGUCCCCGAAAACAUAAAGGCAAACAAGCACAUCAAAAGUUAAGACAUUAUACGUCAGUCGAAUUCAAGCAACCCCACAGUUUAGUGCACCAAAAAUUGAAGUCAUGAUUGAAACUUACAUCCUUAGUUUUAACCCCAUUUUCAUGAAAGCGUCUUUAUCUUCUCGAGCAAUAUAUUGACAUUAAGAUCCACCUGAUUGAACACAAUAGAGUUUCACGCCAUCCAAAUCGACCAUACACAAAACAUCUAAAUAGUGUCAAGUUUAGAACAAACUUCCUUUCCCAUGUGAGAAAGACCAAAAAAUUGAUAAGCACGAGCCUCCAGAUUUUUAUGAACAGCACAACUAAUUCCGAACAACUUCAAAAGUCUCGUCCAAACUUUCUCAAAGCAAGGGCAUAAGAUAACAGAUGUUGAAUAUACUAUUCUUCUCCAAAACCCGCCACAUGUAAGGGAGAUGGAGACAUAACAAUACCUCUUAUAGCAAGGUUGUCUUUUGUAGGUAGUCUUUGUUGAAAAACCUUCCACACAAAGACGGGACGGAUGAUGCAUCUCUUGGCAAGGGACUAGAUAUCAAAUUAUACACCUCUUUGACCAUAUAACCACCUCUUGUCCUCCGAUUCACCACCUUUGUCUGUAAUAAUCUCCUGGAAUAAAAAAUACUAUCCAAUAAUAACACGCACUCACCCAUCAUCUCCUUCUUCCACUCAAAAAAGCUCACAUAACUUUCAAUUUAAUUUUAACAAUUGGAAUUGUAUUGAUUUUGAUCCACGUAAAUUCUACUAAUUUGAAUAAAUAGUAAUGAUCUAGGAAAUUUUGAGAGUUCCAAUUUAACAUUUGAAAAAAAUAAAAAUAUGUUUUAGUCUUUAAAAAAAAUUGAGUCAAAUUAGUUUUUAUGUACCACAUUUAUAAAAUUAUAUUUUUUUUUGCUGACUUGUCUUUUGACUCAUCAACUUGAUUAUAUCUCACACGUAAUUUCUCUAAAAAGUGACAAUUAGGUAUUUGACAAGAAUUAAAAAUAGACAAUUAAGUUUAUGACAAUAAUUAAACAAACAAACUUAGAGUUUUUGUUAGAAACUUAAUUAACUAUUUUUAAUUAUUGUCAAAUACCUAAUUUUUUUUUAUAUAUAAUAAAAAUUACAUGUAAAUAAUUAAGUUGACCAAUCAUUUGACAAAUAAAAAAAAAAACUCAAUUUUAGAACUGUCAUCCAAAUAAGAACUAAUUUAACUAAAUUUAUAUCAAAAUGAGUCUUUUAUUUUUAAAUAAAUAAAUAUUAUAUAUUUUUGAGUCCACAAGAAGAAAUCCGGUUAUUUGCUACAAUUAUUUCACCACUGAUUUGGUUAGUAGUUAAUGAAGUGACAUUUAACUAGCAACAGUAUAUUGUUUUUAACUAACUAUCAAUUAUAAACACAGGUCUUUUAAAAAAGAAACACUUGCCCAUUCAGAAACACCUAUCGUCCUGGCUCAUUCGGGAACAUUGCGCUCCCUCUCUGAAUUUCCCUCUAAGAAGUUUCUCGCUCUCGCUCAUAAGAACACUCAUAAUAAAUUCCUUGCUCUCUCAAUCUCACUCACCCGCACUCAGAAUCUCUAUCUCGUUUAUAAAAAAUCUGGUUCUAAUAGGCUUGCUUAAAACUAAGGGAGGUUGUGUUGUGGAUACUAUUGAAAUUUUCUAGGAACUAUUGUGACUAAUUGUUAUUGUCGUACUUUUUUCUUUCUCUAGUAAUUAUAUACCUCAUUUUAGUCAUCUCCACUGGCAUAUUACUUACAUUGCCGAUAAGGUAUUCAUAUCUUUGUUCAUGUUACGGAUAGUAAUUUAUCAUUUCAUUGUACAUUAAUUUGCACUUAGGAAUUUAGAACAUCUAAGCCAGCAUUGCAUGGCUUCCUACAAGCUCAGUGGUUGGUCAUUCUUAAUAUAUUUAUGAAAUUCUUUAUACAAAAUAUUGCAGUUGAAUUCCUAAAAAAUAGCAUCCAGACAAAAUAUUGGAAAUACAUUUUAUAAUAUCAAAGGUGAAGAACCUUUUGGACAACUUGUGACGUUGAAGCUUAAUGAGGAGGCUUUGGGACAACUAAAAGGUGCACUAUUCCAAAUUACUAUGAAUCUAAUUUUAGUAACCUGAUAUCCUGUAACAGAUCAUUUUUCCAUCAAGACUUGAGUUAGGAUAUUGUAUUUGUCUUUCACAGUUUACUCUCUAGUUGAUUUGUUGGUGGUGCAGGUUCUAGGCUCCAAGUUUCAAACUGGUAGCAUUUUUCUAAAGUUACAACAUUGUUUUGUAUAUUAUAUACACUGUAACCUGAUUCAGAGGUUGACAAUUUGAUACUUGCUUAGAUUAUAAUUUUGAAAUUCCAUUUCUGACACUAUAUACAUGGCAACCUGAUGCAGAGGUCCACUAUUUGCCGUCAUAUCUAAAACUCGUAAGGCAUAUUUGGAGCUUUAAUUUAUCAUAUAAGAACAGUAAUAUUCACUAUUAUGAGUUGAAAAUCUGUGUAGGGACCUCUCUUCUAACAAUCGUAGUGGUGGCUUCUUACCAUGAAUAUCAACAAGAACAAUCAAAUAAGAUCCCUUCACUUUUCUUUUAUUGUUAAUUUUCUUGUAGUCUUUUAGUUGUAUAUAAAAGUUUACAACAUAGUGGUAGAAAGUUGCCAAGGUAGUAGUCAAGACAUACAAAUACAAGAAAUAGGAGCUAUUAUUUAUUUGUGUUAUUUAAUAGGAAGUUGUAAUUAGUACAUGUGAUAGGUGCUAAGUAUGAUCCAUUUGAUACAUUAAAUGGCUUUAACAAUUUUAAAUUUAUGAUCAAUUGGCGUGACUAAUAGAAUUAUGUUUGUGAAGCUCAAGUUAGUAGUUACACUUUUUUUCCUACUGACAUAUAUGAUGGAUCACUUGAUAAUUUCAUAUAUUUAUUGCAUGUUUUUUCAUCUAAAAUAGGCAGCCAUAUUUUUUUGACUUGUGCACUUACCUAAUGCUCGUAUAGCGAUUCACCUAGUUGUUUCAUAUCAGGCACAUACAAUAAAUGUACCAUCAUAAAAUUUUAUAAUGAACUGGUGCACGCAUCAAUUUUUUUUCUUCCUUUAGGAACAAUUCUUACCACCGGAAAAUGUAUUGAACAAGAACAGGAAUCCACAUUAAAGUUAGAGCCAAAUAUAGGGUUGAGCUUAAGGCAUAUCUUUGAGUCCUAAAGGUUAAGUGCAGUAUGAUUUACUAACAUAAUACACAGUAUCACUUUCUUAGUUUCAUGAUCCAUAUUGACGAUUGAUGAUAUUAUGUCUAUGUGAUAAACGUUUGUGUAUAGCUUCUAGUCUAGAUGCUACCACUUUGGCCUUAUAAGUGAUUUAUGAUUAGUUGACUUGCUACUAAAUAAACUUCUUUGGAAUGUUGCUUUUCUUACAGGAUGUAGGACUGUCUAUUCUUGAAAGUUAUUCGAAGGUAAUGGAGAGACUGAUAUCUUCUUAGUGGCUCAUUUCUUUAUAUUGUUAGAUGUAUUGGAGCCUAUUUUUUUUUUUAGAGUUUUAGAGAUACUUGUUUUGAACAAGUCUUUGAAGAUUGAGACAAUGACGUAUAUGGAAUGAAAUUCUAACAAAGUUUAUAUUA